UACGAGGGGGGCAAAUGUUGUUCGGAAUCACUGGGCGUAAAGGGAGCGUAGGCGGGCUUCUAAGUUAGGUGUUUAAUCCCGGGGCCCAACCCCGGUCAGGCACCUAAAACUGGGAGUCUUGAAUAGUGGAGAGGUCAGUGGAAUUGGGGGUGUAGCGGUGGAAUGCGUAGAGAUCCCCAAGAACACCAGUUGCGAAGGCGGCUGACUGGACACAUAUUGACGCUGAGGCGCGAAAGCCAGGGGAGCAAACGGG
Molecule: ribosomal RNA, 253 nt
Filed under: uncultured bacterium
Lineage: Bacteria
Description: partial 16S ribosomal RNA
Rfam family: Bacterial small subunit ribosomal RNA
Source: RNAcentral